GCCGACGAGUGGACGAACGGGUGAGUAAUGUAUACGGAACGUACCAUUGAGGUGGGGAAUAACGUAGACGAAAGUUACGCUAAUACCGCAUAUUCUCUCCGGAGGAAAGCAGGGGACCGCAAGGCCUUGCGCUCUUUGAGCGGCCGAUAUCAGAUUAGCUAGUUGGUGAGGUAAAAGGCUCACCAAGGCGACGAUCUGUAGCGGGUCUGAGAGGAUGAUCCGCCACACUGGAACUGAGACACGGUCCAGACUCCUACGGGAGGCAGCAGUGGGGAAUUUUGGACAAUGGGGGCAACCCUGAUCCAGCCAUGCCGCGUGAGUGAAGAAGGCCUUCGGGUUGUAAAGCUCUUUCGGCCGGGAAGAAAUCGCAUGGGUUAAUACCCUGUGCGGAUGACGGUACCGGCAUAAGAAGCACCGGCUAACUACGUGCCAGCAGCCGCGGUAAUACGUAGGGUGCGAGCGUUAAUCGGAAUUACUGGGCGUAAAGC
Molecule: ribosomal RNA, 488 nt
Filed under: uncultured bacterium
Lineage: Bacteria
Description: bacterial SSU rRNA
Rfam family: Bacterial small subunit ribosomal RNA
Source: RNAcentral